GAUGAACGCUGGCGGCGUGCCUAAUACAUGCAAGUCGAACGAGGUGCUUUUGUAGCAAUACGGAAGUAUCCUAGUGGCGAACGGGUGAGUAACGCGUUGGUGACCUACCCCAAAGUGUGGGAUAACAGUCCGAAAGGACUGCUAAUACCGCAUGUGGUCUUCGGGCUUAGAAACCGAUGACUAAAGGAGCAAUUCGCUUUGGGAGGGACCUGCGUCCCAUCAGCUAGUUGGUAGGGUAACGGCCUACCAAGGCUUCGACGGGUAGGGGACCUGAGAGGGUGGCCCCCCACAAUGGAACUGAAACACGGUCCAUACACCUACGGGUGGCAGCAGUAGGGAAUAUUGCACAAUGGGCGAAAGCCUGAUGCAGCAACGCCGCGUGUGCGACGAAGGCCUUCGGGUCGUAAAGCACUUUUCUGAGAGAUGAGAAAGGACAGUAUCUCAGGAAUAAGUCUCGGCUAACUACGUGCCAGCAGCCGCGGUAAAACGUAGGAGGCGAGCGUUAUCCGGAUUCACUGGGUGUAAAGCGCGUGCAGGCGGUUCGGUAAGUUGGGCGUGAAAUCUCCUAGCUCAACUAGGAGAGGUCGUUCAAUACUACCGGGCUAGAGAGCGGUAGAGGAAGAUGGAAUUCCCGGUGUAGUGGUGAAAUGCGUAGAUAUCGGGAGGAACACCAGUGGCGAAGGCGAUCUUCUGGACCGUUUCUGACGCUCAGACGCGACAGCUAGGGUAGCAAACGGGAUUAGAGACCCCGGUAGUCCUAGCCGUAAACGAUGUGAACUUGGCGUCGGUGGGUUAAACUCCAUCGGUGCCGCAGCCAACGCGAUAAGUUCACCACCUGGGGACUACGGCCGCAAGGUUA
This 859-nucleotide ribosomal RNA is filed under the name uncultured bacterium. Its description in RNAcentral is "bacterial SSU rRNA". It matches the Rfam family "Bacterial small subunit ribosomal RNA", at positions 28 to 896 of the family's 1533-position model. The record is from RNAcentral.